AUUGAACGCUGGCGGCAGGCCUAACACAUGCAAGUCGAACGGUAACAGGAAGCAGCUUGCUGCUUUGCUGACGAGUGGCGGACGGGUGUGUAAUGUCUGGGAAACUGCCCGAUGGAGGGGGAUAACUACUGGAAACGGUAGCUAAUACCGCAUAACGUCGCAAGACCAAAGAGGGGGACCUUAGGGCCUCUUGCCAUCGGAUGUGCCCAGAUGGGAUUAGCUAGUAGGUGGGGUAACGGCUCACCUAGGCGACGAUCCCUAGCUGGUCUGAGAGGAUGACCAGCCACACUGGAACUGAGACACGGUCCAGACUCCUACGGGAGGCAGAAGUGGGGAAUAUUGCACAAUGGGCGCAAGCCUGAUGCAGCCAUGCCGCGUGUAUGAAGAAGGCCUUCGGGUUGUAAAGUACUUUCAGCGGGGAGGAAGGGAGUAAAGUUAAUACCUUUGCUCAUUGACGUUACCCGCAGAAGAAGCACCGGCUAACUCCGUG
RNAcentral lists this ribosomal RNA (490 nucleotides) under uncultured bacterium. RNAcentral describes it as "partial 16S ribosomal RNA". It matches the Rfam family "Bacterial small subunit ribosomal RNA", at positions 30 to 507 of the family's 1533-position model. The record is from RNAcentral.